This 461-nucleotide ribosomal RNA is filed under the name uncultured bacterium. RNAcentral's name for it is "partial 16S ribosomal RNA". It matches the Rfam family "Bacterial small subunit ribosomal RNA", at positions 338 to 795 of the family's 1533-position model. The record is from RNAcentral.
CCUAUCGGGAGGCAGCAGUGAGGAAUAUUGGUCAAUGGGCUUACGCCUGAACCAGCCAAGUCGCGUGAGGGAAGACUGCCCUAUGGGUUGUAAACCUCUUUUGUCAGGGAGCAAUUGGCGCUACGUGUAGCGUCAUCGAGAGUACCUGAAGAAAAAGCAUCGGCUAACUCCGUGCCAGCAGCCGCGGUAAUACGGAGGAUGCGAGCGUUAUCCGGUUUUAUUGGGUUUAAAGGGUGCGUAGGCGGAAUGCCAAGUCAGCGGUAAAAUCGCGGGGCUCAACCUCGCCCCGCCGUUGAAACUGGCGGUCUUGAGUUGGCGACAGGCAUGCGGAAUGCGUGGUGUAGCGGUGAAAUGCAUAGAUAUCACGAGGAACCCCGAUUGCGAAGGCAGCAUACCGGCGCCCAACUGACGCUGAAGCACGAAGGCGUGGGUAUCGAACAGGAUUAGAUACCCCGGUAGUC